RNAcentral lists this ribosomal RNA (120 nucleotides) under Cronobacter universalis. RNAcentral also lists the same sequence under 2 other names. The record is from RNAcentral. Lineage: Bacteria; Pseudomonadati; Pseudomonadota; Gammaproteobacteria; Enterobacterales; Enterobacteriaceae.
UGCCUGGCGGCUGUAGCGCGGUGGUCCCACCUGACCCCAUGCCGAACUCAGAAGUGAAACGCCGUAGCGCCGAUGGUAGUGUGGGGCCUCCCCAUGCGAGAGUAGGGAACUGCCAGGCAU